CAGCCGCCGCGGGAAUACGUAGGUGGCAAGCGUUGUCCGGAAUUAUUGGGCGUGAAGGGCUCGCAGGCGGUUUCUUAAGUCUGAUGUGAAAGCCCCCGGCUCAACCGGGGAGGGUCAUUGGAAACUGGGAAACUUGAGUGCGGAAGAGGAGAGUGGAGUUCCACGUGUAGCGGUGAAACGCGUAGAGAUGUGGAGGAACACCAGUGGCGAAGGCGACUCUCUGGUCUGUAACUGACGCUGAGGAGCGAAAGCGUGGGGAGCGAACAGGAUUAGAUACCCCAGUAGUCCCUGUCUCUUAUAC
This 301-nucleotide ribosomal RNA is filed under the name uncultured bacterium. Its description in RNAcentral is "partial 16S ribosomal RNA". It matches the Rfam family "Bacterial small subunit ribosomal RNA", at positions 509 to 807 of the family's 1533-position model. The record is from RNAcentral.